CUGUUCCUAUGCCUACACUUGCUAAACAAUUCAGAUCUUAUAUUCAAUGUAUUAAUGAUUAUGUUAUCGGACAAAAUUAAUACAUUGAAUAUAAGAUCUGAAUUGUUUAGCAAGUGUAGGCAUAGGAACAG
Molecule: non-coding RNA, 131 nt
Organism: Paramuricea clavata
Lineage: Eukaryota; Metazoa; Cnidaria; Anthozoa; Malacalcyonacea; Plexauridae
Source: the annotation of a GenBank genome assembly